Non-coding RNA from Equus caballus (horse), 60 nucleotides. NCBI's taxonomy places the organism in Eukaryota, Metazoa, Chordata, Mammalia, Perissodactyla, Equidae. The record is from Ensembl.
GAGAAAGUAUGCAAGAACUGCUAAUUCAUGCCCCCAUGUCCAACAAACAUGGCUCUCUCA